CCAGACUCCUACGUUAUUCAGCAUUGGGGAAUAUUUCACAAUUUUUGAAACCCUGAUGCAGCGACGCCGCUUUAUUGAAGAAGUAUUUCGGUAUGUAAAGCUCUAUCAUCAGGGAAGAUAAUGACGUUACCUGACUAAGAAGCCCCGGCUAACUACGUGCCAGCAGCCGCGGUAAUACGUAGGGUGCAAGCGUUAUCCGGAUUUACUGGGUGUAAAGGGUGAGUAGGUGUCAGGGCAAGUCAGAUGUGAAAGACCGGGGCUCAACACCGGUACUGCAUUUGAAAAUGUCAAGAUGGAGUGAAGGAGAGGUAAGAGGAAUUAAUAGUGUAGAGGUGAAAUGAGUAGAUAUUAGGAGGAAAAACAGUGGCGAAGGAGGAUUAAUGGAAUGUAACUGAAAAUGAGGAAAGAAAGAGUGGGGAGAAAAAAGGAUUAGAUACAAGCGUAA
RNAcentral lists this ribosomal RNA (445 nucleotides) under uncultured bacterium. RNAcentral's name for it is "bacterial SSU rRNA". It matches the Rfam family "Bacterial small subunit ribosomal RNA", at positions 331 to 793 of the family's 1533-position model. The record is from RNAcentral.